Molecule: non-coding RNA, 30 nt
Filed under: Rattus norvegicus (Norway rat)
Lineage: Eukaryota; Metazoa; Chordata; Mammalia; Rodentia; Muridae
Source: RNAcentral
UCCCCAGCCUGUGGUUUAUUCUGCCUUCAC